RNAcentral lists this ribosomal RNA (253 nucleotides) under uncultured bacterium. Its description in RNAcentral is "partial 16S ribosomal RNA". It matches the Rfam family "Bacterial small subunit ribosomal RNA", at positions 524 to 776 of the family's 1533-position model. The record is from RNAcentral.
UACGUAGGUGGCAAGCGUUGUCCGGAUUUACUGGGCGUAAAGAGCGCGCAGGCGGUCGAUCAAGUCGCGUGUGAAAGCCCCCGGCUCAACUGGGGAGGGUCACGCGAUACUGAUCGACUCGAAGGCAGGAGAGGGUAGUGGAAUUCCCGGUGUAGUGGUGAAAUGCGUAGAUAUCUGGAGGAAUACCGGUGGCGAAGGCGGCAUCCUGGACCGACAUUGACGCUGAGGAGCGAAAGCCAGGGGAGCAAACGGG